RNAcentral lists this ribosomal RNA (253 nucleotides) under uncultured bacterium. RNAcentral describes it as "partial 16S ribosomal RNA". It matches the Rfam family "Bacterial small subunit ribosomal RNA", at positions 524 to 776 of the family's 1533-position model. The record is from RNAcentral.
UACGUAGGCAGCGAGCGUUGUUCGGAGUUACUGGGCGUAAAGCGUGCGUAGGCGGUGGUCCAAGUCUGGUGUGAAAUCUCCCGGCUCAACUGGGAGGGUGCGCCGGAAACUGGGCCGCUGGAGUAUGGGAGAGGCAAGCGGAAUUCCAGGUGUAGCGGUGAAAUGCGUAGAUAUCUGGAGGAACACCCGUGGUGCAGACGGCUUGCUGGACCAUGACUGACGCUGAGGCACGAAAGCUAGGGGAGCAAACAGG